This 226-nucleotide long non-coding RNA is filed under the name Carica papaya (papaya). Its description in RNAcentral is "long non-coding RNA (CPAP_LNC001259)". The record is from RNAcentral. Lineage: Eukaryota; Viridiplantae; Streptophyta; Magnoliopsida; Brassicales; Caricaceae.
ACCCAUCUCAUAUCAUUCCAUGCCUGAGAGCUCUUAUGUGCUCUGACAGACCUAUGUUGCCUAUGUUAUGGAGCUCAUCGAAUGGGUUGAGGAGAUUACAAACGGUUGAGAAGUUUCUAUAGUCAAGGUGUGCUAGCAACACCACAUUUGAGAAGAGGUGACCUAGGAGGAUGAAAAGGAGAUAUAGGAUCUGUAUCCCGAUUUACUUUAAAGAACUCUUGCAAAU